This is a long non-coding RNA of Cephus cinctus (wheat stem sawfly), 427 nucleotides long. RefSeq lists it as uncharacterized. The record is from RefSeq and is a predicted model, not a curated record. The transcript has 2 exons. Lineage: Eukaryota; Metazoa; Arthropoda; Insecta; Hymenoptera; Cephidae.
AGCGCGACAAUUAUAUUUGCGCGCCGAAUUUAUUCCAGAUGCCAGCACCUUCGUGUCCUCCCACUUAUUGUAAAUUUUCGUAGCUUCGCGAAGGGAUAAGUCUUGCUCUUCCCAUUUGCCUGUAGGCAGUGAAUACGGAAGCAGCAGGUAUUUGGGCCAUUGUCCCGUGGUCAACGUAGGACUAUUUUAUUCGGCUUGGAUUUUUAUUAGAAGCAAAUUACGUACUGGAAGCACACGAGGUGCUGGAUAUUGGAAGCUUCAUGGCUACGGCUGGUUAUCUCGAUCACGUAAAUACAAAAAAUUGUCACCACGAUUCUCUAUGUUAAUAUAUUUUUAUAUAUAAGGUGCGUGCGUAGCGAAAUUCAGUAAUUUGUCUUAAACGGUAUUUAUAUAUAUUAAAUUCCUUUUAUUAUAUAGCCGCAUAUCA